GAUGAAGAACGCAGCGAAAUGCGAUAAGUAAUGCGAAUUGCAGAAUUCAGUGAGUCAUCGAAUCUUUGAACGCACAUUGCGCCCGCCAGUAUUCUGGCGGGCAUGCCUGUUCGAGCGUCAUUACAACCCUCAGGCCCCCGGGCCUGGCGUUGGGGAUCGGCGGAGCCCCCCGUGGGCACACGCCGUCCCCCAAAUGCAGUGGCGGUCCCGCCGCAGCUUCCAUCGCGUAGUAGCUAACACCUCGCGACUGGAGAGCGGCGCGGCCACGCCGUAAAACACCCAACUCUUCUGAAGUUGACCUCGAAUCAGGUAGGAAUACCCGCUGAACUUAAGCAUAUCAAUAAGCGGAGGA
This 352-nucleotide unclassified non-coding RNA is filed under the name soil metagenome. RNAcentral's name for it is "partial contains 5.8S ribosomal RNA, internal transcribed spacer 2, and large subunit ribosomal RNA". The stretch from base 1 to 120 matches the Rfam family "5.8S ribosomal RNA", at positions 35 to 154 of the family's 154-position model. The record is from RNAcentral.